UGCCCCAGUAACGGCGAGUGAAGCGGCAACAGCUCAAAUUUGAAAUCUGGCUCUCGGGCCCGAGUUGUAAUUUGUAGAGGAUGCUUUUGGUGAGGUGCCUUCCGAGUUCCCUGGAACGGGACGCCAUAGAGGGUGAGAGCCCCGUCUGGUUGGACACCGAUCCUCUGUAAAGCUCCUUCGACGAGUCGAGUAGUUUGGGAAUGCUGCUCUAAAUGGGAGGUAUAUGUCUUCUAAAGCUAAAUACCGGCCAGAGACCGAUAGCGCACAAGUAGAGUGAUCGAAAGAUGAAAAGAACUUUGAAAAGAGAGUUAAACAGUACGUGAAAUUGUUGAAAGGGAAGCGCUUGUGACCAGACUUGGGCUUGGUUGAUCAUCCGGGGUUCUCCCCGGUGCACUCUUCCGGCUCAGGCCAGCAUCAGUUCGCCCUGGGGGACAAAGGCUUCGGGAAUGUGGCUCUCUCCGGGGAGUGUUAUAGCCCGUUGCGUAAUACCCUGUGGCGGACUGAGGUUCGCGCAUUCGCAAGGAUGCUGGCGUAAUGGUCAUCAGUGACCCGUCUUGAAACACGGACCAAGGAGUCGUCUUCGUAUGCGAGUGUUCGGGUGUCAAACCCCUACGCGAAAUGAAAGUGAACGCAGGUGAGAGCUUCGGCGCAUCAUCGACCGAUCCUGAUGUUAUCGGAUGGAUUUGAGUAAGAGCAUACGGGGCCGGACCCGAAAGAAGGUGAACUAUGCCUGUGUAGGGUGAAGCCAGAGGAAACUCUGGUGGAGGCUCGCAGCGGUUCUGACGUGCAAAUCGAUCGUCAAACAUGGGCAUGGGGGCGAAAGACUAAUCGAACCUUCUAGUAGCUGGUUUCCGCCGAAGUUUCCCUCAGGAUAGCAGUGUUGAACUCAGUUUUAUGAGGUAAAGCGAAUGAUUAGGGACUCGGGGGCGCUAUUUAGCCUUCAUCCAUUCUCAAACUUUAAAUAUGUAAGAAGCCCUUGUUGCUUAAUUGAACG
RNAcentral lists this ribosomal RNA (994 nucleotides) under Fusarium keratoplasticum. RNAcentral's name for it is "partial large subunit ribosomal RNA". It matches the Rfam family "Eukaryotic large subunit ribosomal RNA", at positions 76 to 1101 of the family's 3401-position model. The record is from RNAcentral. Lineage: Eukaryota; Fungi; Ascomycota; Sordariomycetes; Hypocreales; Nectriaceae.